Molecule: ribosomal RNA, 481 nt
Filed under: uncultured bacterium
Lineage: Bacteria
Description: partial 16S ribosomal RNA
Rfam family: Bacterial small subunit ribosomal RNA
Source: RNAcentral
GACGAACGCUGGCGGCGUGCUUAAUACAUGCCAGUCAACCGAAACAGUCGUAGCUAUAUCGCUGUGGAGGGGGCGCACGGGGGAGUAACCCCUUGGUAAUCUGCCUUCUGGUCUGGCAUAACUCUGGGAAACCGGGGCUAAUAGCAGCUGAUGCAGUGGCUCGACAUGGUGACAGUUGGUAAAGCUAUGGCGCUUGAAGAGGAGCCUCCGUCUGAUUAGCUAGUUGGUGGGUUAACGGCCGAGCAAGGCAACGAUCAGUAGCUGGUCUGAGAGGAUGAUCGGCCAGACUGGAAGUGAGACACGGUCCGGACUGCGACGGGAGGCAGCAGUAAAGGAUAGUGCGCAAUGGGGGAAAUUCUGAAGCAGCAACGACGCGUGAGAGGCGAAGCGCUGUUGGUUGUAAACCUCUGUGGUGAGAGAAAAAAAUUCCAAUCGUUGGGACAUGACGGUAUCGGGAAAAUAAGCCCCGGCUAACUACGUG